GGUAUUAAGACGGAAGCAGUCUCCCGCGUGACCUUCCUAACACAGACCUUGAGCGAGCGACUGCGGGGGCAGAAGCUGAGAAUUUCAGAAGGCACUCGACAGCUCAGCUGGGUCCUUCACACUUGGCUUUCAGGAACAAAAAAAAAAAGCACGUUACUCUGCACCUGCCUCUCCACCCACCCUCCUCGAAACUUAUUUACCCCUAAGGAUCUAAACAGCCAGCAGAAGGACAGAGGUAUGAAGAAGAUGAGUCUCCUAUAUUUAUUAAGAUUCACUUAUAAAGGCAUCAGAGAGCUCUUGAGAACAUUCCAAGGUCGCCAAAUGCUUUCUCAAAAUGCCUUUACUCAGAGAAUAUUUAAAGGUAAGGAGCUAGAGGAAAAAAGGACUGCGCAUGACCUGUCAUUACUGGAGGCUUGGAGUUGCUAUAAUUUUUAGCUAUGAUACUAAUAAUAGUCAUCAUUUAUUGAACAUCCACUGAGUGUCAGGUGCUGUGCAGAGUUCUCUACAUGUGUUACCUCAUUUAAUCUUCAGAACAUUCUAUGAAGCAAUCAGAAGGACAGAUGUCAGGGUUACUCCACAAGGAGAGAAAAACGUCUUUGAAAAUGUAAUGAACUGGAGAAAAUUGUUUAUCAGGACUUCCAGGGAGAGUGUUGACUGGCUUGGAAAGAAGAUGUUGAUGAGCUACUUGGAGUGGGAGGGAAAACCCCAGGCCCCUGUUAUGCUUGUUAAGGAUUGUGGUCUGAUGAACUACAAGGCCUUUGUUUUGCCCUGCAGGGACCCUGCCUUUCCUCUAAAUAGAAAUUAAACAAUCAUUCAAAGAAUAUCCUUUUGAAGGAGCACCAAGAAUCACUGACUUCCCAGAACAGGCACAUGUCCCUAUCCAGCCCUGGAUAUAGGUUCCAGUCACUGCAAUAUACGCACUGGGACACUGAGCCUUGAGAGGGGUUCGUACCUUGCUGGUGAGACCCUGGCUACUGGAGCAGGAGGCCUUGAAUCGGAUUUGGGUCUGUCUGAUUCCACAGCCAUGGCACUGGGCAACAGUGUAACUGGUUUUCUCUAUAGCAUAAGGGUAGAAGACACGUCAAAAAUGACUGCUCAGGGGAUAAGAGUUAAAUGGUUAUAAACUGUUUUUAUAAUAAUUUAAAAAAUAAUAACCUGUCCAGUAGGGGAAAGGAAAAAAGAACAUGUAUUGAUCUUUAGGCAGAGAAUAAAUAAAAGUGUAGAUAAAAAGUAAAUAUUACUGAGAAUUCCACCAUCUAGAGAUAACACUGCUAAUGUUUUAGCACAUUUAAUUCUAUAUUUUCUAUUUUUAAAAGAUACAAUCACACAUACACCCAUAAACACAUGCAUAUAACUUGCUGCUUUUAUUCAAGCAUGUAUAUAUGAAAAAAGUAUGUAUAUAUGUGUAUGCCUGCCUGCUAAGUCUCUUCAGUCAUGUCCAAGUUUGUGUGACCCUAGGAACUAAAAAGCCUCUUGAUGAAAGUGAAAGAGGAGAGUGAAAAAG
This 1504-nucleotide long non-coding RNA is filed under the name Capra hircus (goat). RNAcentral describes it as "lncRNA (ENSCHIG00010004002.1)". The record is from RNAcentral. Lineage: Eukaryota; Metazoa; Chordata; Mammalia; Artiodactyla; Bovidae.